AAGACCUAAAAAUAAAGAAAUGACUAAAAUAUUUAAUGGAAAUGUGAAUAUUAUUACUGUAGACCCAGUGGGAGAAAUAGUUCAGAUCAAUAUUACUGUAGACUCAGUUGGAGAAAUAGUUCAGUACUACUAUUUUUAUUUAAUGGACUACAGUUUCACUCGUAGGUGUGAUAAUUUUUGUGAAUACAAAUAUAGCAUAGAUGCUGUUUUAAAAUAUGCAUAAAUUCAGCAUUAUGACUAAGACCCCAAAAAAUGAACUAAGAAAAUCUGAAAAUGCCUUCUUGAGAAAAAGCAAGCAACAGAGAACUUGAUAUUAGUUUACAUACUGAUUAUUAAGUUGACUCAUAAAGCAAACCAAAAAGAAGGGUUAGGGGUUAACUAGUAGAACUUGCUAUUAGUCUGCAUGCAUAUAUGUGAGAAAAAAGCAAAUGACUUCAAAGCUUAAAGAACAAAACAAUGGCCUUUAUUUAUUUUUAUUUUAAAAGAAUCUGUAAGAAAUUGGAGAUAAGAAACCGUUUGAUUUAAAACUUGAAGGACCUAAACUAUACCUCCCUCCAAGAAAAUACCAUGUUGGAAGGAUAUUACAGACUUAUACAGUGUUACAUCAGGUUUUCUCACCUAAAAAGGGUUGUGUAGGUAACCUGAGAUUUUCUUGCAGCUCAAGCAAGAUAAGCAAGGACAUUGAAAAGUGAAGAAAAUGAGAAAAUGAAAAAGAAACCAUCAAAAACUAAGACAAAAAUUGCAUCAACUCAACAUGCCUGGAAGAAAAACAAAAAAAGAAAAAAAGAGUACUUGAACAAACACAAACCACUUAGUGACUCAGUAGCAAAAGAAUAAAAGUCAACGAAAAGAACAAAACUACAAUCUGAAGCACACUUUUUGUUCUCUUUUCUUCCAAAAAGCCAAAGUAUAGUGCAUAUGUUUCAGGACAACAAACAAAGAUCCAAAGCUAGAAAACAAAACAGAAAAGAAAAAGAAAAAAACAGAUAGAAGAAGAAGAAGAGAAGAAAGAGUCAAAACCUGCCAGCUUAGGUAGAGAACGCCAGCUUCCAUGGCCAUUAUUUUUCUUGAUAUAUUCAACAAGAGUCUCAUCUUCUUCAGCAGUCCAUGGCCCUUUCUUCAAGCCCUUCUUGUCACAACAUGGUGUUCUUCCCAUUUCUCUCUGUGUGUCUUCCUUUUAAUCCUCAACCAGGAUCAGAACCAAA
Molecule: long non-coding RNA, 1205 nt
Organism: Cannabis sativa
Lineage: Eukaryota; Viridiplantae; Streptophyta; Magnoliopsida; Rosales; Cannabaceae
Exons: 2
Source: RefSeq, a predicted model, not a curated record